This 287-nucleotide ribosomal RNA is filed under the name uncultured bacterium. RNAcentral describes it as "partial 16S ribosomal RNA". It matches the Rfam family "Bacterial small subunit ribosomal RNA", at positions 775 to 1067 of the family's 1533-position model. The record is from RNAcentral.
GGAUUAGAUACCCUGGUAGUCCACGCCGUAAACGAUGGAUACUAGCUGUCGGGACUUCGGUCUCGGCGGCCAAGCGAAAGUGAUAAGUAUCCCACCUGGGGAGUACGUUCGCAAGAAUGAAACUCAAAGGAAUUGACGGGGGCCCGCACAAGCGGUGGAGCAUGUGGUUUAAUUCGAUGAUACGCGAGGAACCUUACCAGGGCUUAAAUGUAACGGGACAGGCUUAGAGAUAGGCUUUUCUUCGGACUCGUUACAAGGUGCUGCAUGGUUGUCGUCAGCUCGUGCCG